CGGAGUCCGGUUCCCAUCCCACCUUGGUCCCAGAGGUUACCUAUUUCUUUCCCUCCUGGAACAUUAGGAAGUAGUUUUGUAAUGUGGAGGAUAAGUUAAAAACAGUACUCAGCUCUUCUGUUUACACAGUCUGUUCAUGUUAUGUCAUAACCAUCAUAACGUCAUGACUUGAUCAUAGUGAAUUACUCGAGAGCUUGUACUGAUGAUGGUAUGACACACCUCCAGCAAUCCAUCAGUAGAAAGGGUCCUGGAGAAGUCCCACAAAAGACCACCAUCCACAUAUGCAAUCAGCAAGAGUGUUUAUUAUCUUGAGAAAGCUUCCAGCAUGCUGGGGCCAGCCGUCCCACACAAAGGCAAAAUAACAUAAUCCAGAGAGGAGCUCACAGGCUCUUUUUUAAGCACAAUCAAGGGGAGUUUUUAGGGCAGUUAGGUCACUUUAGAUAUGAUUGG
This is a long non-coding RNA of Peromyscus maniculatus bairdii (prairie deer mouse), 450 nucleotides long. RefSeq lists it as uncharacterized. The record is from RefSeq and is a predicted model, not a curated record. NCBI's taxonomy places the organism in Eukaryota, Metazoa, Chordata, Mammalia, Rodentia, Cricetidae.